UUAAGUUCAGCGGGUAGUCCUACCUGAUUUGAGGUCAAAAUGUCAGAAGUUGUCCAAGUCAAUGGACGGUUAGAAGCUGAACCCCAUGUAAAGCUGCUUCACAACCAUGGCGUAGAUAAUUAUCACACCAAAGCUGGUCCACAAAGGUUCCGCUAAUGCAUUUAAGAGGAGCCGACUUCAAGAAAGAAGCCCGCAAAAAC
Molecule: unclassified non-coding RNA, 200 nt
Filed under: Collybia sp.
Lineage: Eukaryota; Fungi; Basidiomycota; Agaricomycetes; Agaricales; Clitocybaceae
Description: partial internal transcribed spacer 2
Source: RNAcentral